UGGACCAAUGAUGAUGACUGGUGGUGUAUGAGUCAUGCCCAGUGAAUAGCACGUGCCUGGAACUCUGAGGUCCAA
Cebus imitator (Panamanian white-faced capuchin) is the source of this 75-nucleotide small nucleolar RNA. RefSeq annotates it as small nucleolar RNA SNORD113/SNORD114 family. The record is from RefSeq and is a predicted model, not a curated record. The transcript has a single exon. NCBI's taxonomy places the organism in Eukaryota, Metazoa, Chordata, Mammalia, Primates, Cebidae.